CUCUCUCUCUGUGGCCUUUUUCAGUUUUUCUUAUCCUUAGCCGACUAAACUCUCUCUCUCUCUCUCUCUCUCAAGUUCUCUGGUUGUUCAGGGCAGUAUGAAUUCUACAGAGAAUGGGUAAUUCCUUUCUCUUUUUCUUUGUCUCUCCCUUUCUCUUAUGCGUUAUACACAUCUGCUUCCUUUCAGAUCUUCGAAUUUAGGUUUUUGUUUGACUUCCAGAGGAAAUAGCGGCUUAAAUUCAUCGUCGCUACUAUCUCGAAGCUUUCUCCCACCCACUCUUGGCAGCAGACCCGUCUCUGAGACGAUUCAAGUCGCAUAAGAAGGGUGUGUUGGCGAUCAAAAGGAUUGGGGAGGUUCUCAUAGUUGUCGUUAUUGUUGUCAGGUUUGUCAAGAUGUUUACCUCAAGGAAGAAGAUUCAUAAGGAUAAGGAUGCCGAGCCGACUGAGUUUGAAGAGUCGGUUGCACAAGUAAGCUAGAUUGCUUUCCUUAGCGUUGGAUGCUGGACCUGUGAUAGCCGGUGAAAUACUGGAUAUUGAUGAUCAAAUUAAGGAUCCAAACUAUUUAUUCACCGGCUUCCUUCCAUAUUUGAUGGUUCAGCUAAAUUAAAAUUAUGUUGAGCUUAAAAUUAUCACAACCAAAGCUCGCAGCCAUAGCAAUAUUCAGGGCAACCAUGCAGAUGACAUCUCUUUUCGAAAGGGUGCAUUAGUAUUCCCCUGUGGAGGGUCCACAUCACUUGAGGACUUGAGGUGCGUUUGCAUUUGACAGAUAUCUGAUACUGUCUAGUAUUACUGCUGGAUAGGAUCAUGACAUAUGGUCGUGCCUUCUGUUUUCUGAACCAUUUCUACUGCUGGGAUUAUGUUGUUAAAGGGGGAAAAUCUUAUUGGUAUCCCACCUUCAACCAUACACAGCCUUGUUUUUUAUAAUCCAAGAAUUUACUUUGAUACGAAAUGUAUUUUGUUAGAAAUGUAAAGAACAUCUUGCUAUGUAAAGUUUAAUAUUUUCGAUUGAGUUGUGGAUUUGUUCAUUUUAUUGUAAAUAUUUGAAAUAUAUUUUUUGU
This is a long non-coding RNA of Rosa chinensis, 1057 nucleotides long. RefSeq lists it as uncharacterized. The transcript has 4 exons. The record is from RefSeq and is a predicted model, not a curated record. NCBI's taxonomy places the organism in Eukaryota, Viridiplantae, Streptophyta, Magnoliopsida, Rosales, Rosaceae.